This 247-nucleotide unclassified non-coding RNA is filed under the name uncultured fungus. RNAcentral's name for it is "partial contains 5.8S ribosomal RNA, internal transcribed spacer 2, and large subunit ribosomal RNA". Lineage: Eukaryota; Fungi. The record is from RNAcentral.
AACGCACAUUGCGCCCGUUAGUAUUCUGAUGGGCAUGCCUGUUCGAGCGUCAUUUCAACCCUCAAGCCCAGCUUGGUGUUGGGGCACUACGGCCCUGCCGUAGGCUCCGAAAAUUAGUGGCGGGUCACCUGUAAUCCCGAGCGCAGUAGUUACUUCUCGCUUAGGGCGUUGCGGGGGAUUCUUGCCGUAAAACUCCCACUUCUAAAAGGUUGACCUCGGAUCAGGUAGGACUACCCGCUGAACUUAA